RNAcentral lists this unclassified non-coding RNA (362 nucleotides) under Hevea brasiliensis (rubber tree). The record is from RNAcentral. Lineage: Eukaryota; Viridiplantae; Streptophyta; Magnoliopsida; Malpighiales; Euphorbiaceae.
GUUUAUUUGUCCUUGAGAUGUCUUCUGAUCUGAAGGUGGUACUGGCCUCGAAUUUCAAUCUGAAUGAUGUUUGAUGAAGGAUAGUAUUUUCUAAAGUUGGAGCAAAUUAAAUUCUUUAUAUUUUUUAAUCAAAGAGUCUUUAGCUAUAACAUAUGACUAAUAUAAAACAAAGACUGUGAAUCAUAGGUUUAUAGGAUUUCUAUUAGCCGUCUCACUCAACAAUGUUCUUAUUACUAAAAUGCAUACUAAUAAUUUUCGCAUGGAGUUAAUCUGGAUUCAAAUCUAUUUUUACCAAUAUGAAAAUAAACUCAAGUUUUUAUUUCAAAUUUCUGAACUUUGUGGUCAUGUUAUUGAUUGCUAAU